This 636-nucleotide ribosomal RNA is filed under the name uncultured bacterium. RNAcentral describes it as "bacterial SSU rRNA". The stretch from base 1 to 540 matches the Rfam family "Bacterial small subunit ribosomal RNA", at positions 338 to 873 of the family's 1533-position model. The record is from RNAcentral.
CCUACGGGAGGCAGCAGUGGGGAAUAUUGGACAAUGGGCGAAAGCCUGAUCCAGCAAUUCCGCGUGUGUGAAGAAGGCCUUCGGGUUGUAAAGCACUUUAGUGGGGGAAGAAACAGCUUGGCCACACCAAGCCUUGACGGUACCCCAAGAAUAAGCACCGGCUAACUCUGUGCCAGCAGCCGCGGUAAUACAGAGGGUGCAAGCGUUAAUCGGAUUUACUGGGCGUAAAGGGUGCGUAGGUGGCUAUUUAAGUCGGAUGUGAAAGCCCGGGGCUCAACCUCGGAAUUGCAUUCGAUACUGAGUGGCUAGAGUUCGGUAGAGGGCGGCGGAAUUUCCGGUGUAGCGGUGAAAUGCGUAGAUAUCGGAAGGAACAUCAAUGGCGAAGGCAGCCGCCUGGGCCUGGACUGACACUGAGGCACGAAAGCGUGGGUAGCAAACAGGAUUAGAUACCCUGGUAGUCCACGCCGUAAACGAUGAGAACUUGACGUUGGUUCGUUUUACGAAUCGGUGUCGCAGCUACGACGAUAAGUUACGUCCGCCGUCGGGUAGGUACGGCCGGCCGAAGGUUAGUAAACGUACAAAUAGAAGUUAGUACGGCGUGAGACGUGCCGAACGGACGACGACGAGGGAGGUAGG